Molecule: long non-coding RNA, 314 nt
Filed under: Mytilus galloprovincialis (Mediterranean mussel)
Lineage: Eukaryota; Metazoa; Mollusca; Bivalvia; Mytilida; Mytilidae
Source: RNAcentral
AAAAAUAGGGGGGUCGGCCUAUUCCAGGACUUCUAGAGAAAAAUAAUGAGGGGUGUCACGGGGAAUGACUAUAUAGGUCUUGUAGAGGAGAAACAGGCGCUUCUUUUGCGCUAGGUAUCGAAGGGCGCUAUGUUCAAAAAUCUGAAACUAGAGCUCAAAAUUUGAAAAAAAUGUCAAAAAAUUAGGGGGGUCGGCCUAUUCUAGGACUUCUAGAGAAAAAUAAUGAGGGGUGUCACGGGGAAUGACUAUAUAGGUCUUGUAGAGGAGAAACAGGCGCUUCUUUUGCGCUAGGUAUCGAAGGGCGCUAUGUUCAA